AUGAGGAGGCAUGGUCCAUGGGACUCUUCGCAGAUGACGUCCCCGUCUGCAAGCAGUGCUGGAAUGAGUAGACUUUUUGCCAGAGUUCCAAGUGGUCAGGAUGGGAAUCACAUUCGCAGAGAAGUGCGAUCCCACAGCAUUGAGGGCACGAGCCGGGAGGAGCGUGAUCUCUGCCAUGAAGCUCGGCAAGAACCGACCUCACAAGGAAGAACCCCGAAGACAAGGUAUCGAGGUGCGACCCUGACCCCAGCAGAGCCCAGGCCCUCCGGCCCUCUCUCUGCGCUUCACAGGGACUAAAGGCCUCCCCUCCGCGGGCAGCGCCCCAACAGGGUCUUCUGCGAUUGCCAGCGGGGCCGCCUGGGCGGGGCCUGGCCUCCCAUUGGCUGGCUGAGGAGCCAGGUUGUGACCGCGGUCCUCCGAAAGAGGGAGCUCCGAGGGCUGAAGGUGGGAACCGCAUUUCCUCUGGUCUAGAACUGGGC
RNAcentral lists this long non-coding RNA (479 nucleotides) under Camelus dromedarius (Arabian camel). RNAcentral describes it as "lncRNA (ENSCDRG00005020768.1)". Lineage: Eukaryota; Metazoa; Chordata; Mammalia; Artiodactyla; Camelidae. The record is from RNAcentral.